UACGUAGGGGGCUAGCGUUGUCCGGAAUCAUUGGGCGUAAAGCGCGUGUAGGCGGUCCGGUAAGUCCGCUGUGAAAGUCGGGGGCUCAACCCUCGAAUGCCGGUGGAUACUGUCGGGCUAGAGUGCGGAAGAGGAGAGUGGAAUUCCAGGUGUAGCGGUGAAAUGCGUAGAUAUCUGGAGGAACACCGGUGGCGAAGGCGGCAUCCUGGACCGGUAUUGACGCUGAGGCGCGAAAGCUAGGGGAGCAAACGGG
RNAcentral lists this ribosomal RNA (253 nucleotides) under uncultured bacterium. RNAcentral's name for it is "partial 16S ribosomal RNA". It matches the Rfam family "Bacterial small subunit ribosomal RNA", at positions 524 to 776 of the family's 1533-position model. The record is from RNAcentral.